Ziziphus jujuba (common jujube) is the source of this 4035-nucleotide long non-coding RNA. RefSeq lists it as uncharacterized. The transcript has 2 exons. NCBI's taxonomy places the organism in Eukaryota, Viridiplantae, Streptophyta, Magnoliopsida, Rosales, Rhamnaceae. The record is from RefSeq and is a predicted model, not a curated record.
UUCAAAAUUUCAAAAGAGUAUCUCUCAACGGCUAUAUUCUCUGUUUCUUCUUGGCCUCUCUCUCCCACUUUUCCUUACGAUUAUUCAUUUCUUCGCUGUCGCUGUUUUUGUUCAAUUCCAGGUUUGUUUUCUUUUAAAAUAUUUUCGAAUUUUAGGAGGCUGGAAAACAUAUUUUAAUAUGGGUUUUGGUUUUUGUGGUACUACUGGGGUAGUAGUUGGUCAACCAUAGUCGUUUGCUGUACGAUUUUUUCAUUGUAUCUUCCAAUUUUGCCUUAAAAAUUGUUGUCGAAUUUGAUUUUCUAUUGUUACCCAUUUGUGGAUUUCAACUGCUGCUCAUGAAAUUUUAUACGGAUUUGCUCUCUAAGUCAGAGAAUGUUUAGGAAAUUAGAUACUGAAUUGUGACCUAAAAGAAAAUUUCCGUCUGUAUGACUUUUUUCUGAUAAUUUAUUUGUUUAUAUCUAUGUUUUUUUCAAUGAUUAAUUAAUUUAGAACUUAUUUUUCAAAGGGGAGAUAAGAAUGGGUAAGUCAGUCUAUCCCACACUAUCUAGGAAUCUUAUUUUUCAGAAAUUCAAAAAAAUAAAUCCGUAUAGUUAACUUGUAGAAGUCUUUUUUGGCAAGGUUUUUCUAUGAGAAAACUAAUUUUCCUAAAAAUGCAAUCCUCGAGGUCCUUUUUUUGAAAAGUGCUUGAUGUACAUUUUUUUUCCAUUGGACUUUUUGAAGAGGCACAUUUAUGAGAACUAGUUUUCAUUGAAAUCCUUUCCAAAGGAAGUUGGGAAAUGGGGAUGUCUACCUAAUCAGUAUCUAGAAAAAUAAAUUUCUAUAGUUUUAAACUUGUGGAAGUCUUUCUUAUGAAAGGAUAUUAUCUUAGAAAACCAUUUUUUUCCCUGAAAGUGCAAUCUGCAAUGUCCUUUUUUAAAAAAGCGCUCGAUGUACUUUUUUUUCAUUGGACUUUUAAAGAGGCACUUUUAUGAGAACUAGUUUUUGUUGUGAUACUUUUCAAAGGAAGCUGGGAACUAGAGAGUCUAUUUACACAGUAUCUAGAAACAUAAUGUCAGAGCAUCUUCUAGAACUGCCACACUAAUAUGACACACAUCCAAUAUAAUUAAUUUGCCAAGCUUCCUGUAAACAUAUUUAGUAAAAAGCAUAGAGGUAUAUUAAUCUUUUUCAUUUUCAUAUAGAUCCUUUUGGUAGUUGAUACUGUAUCUAGAUUGAAAUGGAAAUGGAGGUUGUAACAGAACCCACAGAUAGAAGGCUGGGUGGUGGAUUAUGCCUGUAUCAAAAAGAGACUGUUUAUUUCAGUAAAACAUUAUCAGACAUUUACUAUGGUCCUGCCUCAUUAUACUAAAUCAAUUUCAUAAAAAGUUGUGUUGUGCAAAUAAUGUCUGUAACUGAUGGUAUGUGUUUCAUGCCUUUUUUUAUUAUUAUUUAAAUUUGUUUGUCAUGGAAUAGAAGGUAAUUAUUGUGUCUUGUUUUACAAUUGUCUUGAAUAAGAUGAUAAUUUAUCAUUUUGCUUUUUAUAUUGUGUUACGAUUGUCUUCUUCUCUAAUGUGAUAGACUUGACGCUGGCAUAUUUUCUUACUUUGCAUGUACCAUAUUCUGUGCAAGGGAAGGAAGUAUGUGAUGCUGUAAUGCCAAAAUGCCACAGAUCCUUUUGGUAGUUGAUACUGUAUCUAGAUUGAAAUGGAAAUGGGGCUUGUAACAGAACCCACAAUAGAAGUUUGGGUGAUGGAUUAUGCCUGUAUCAAAAAGCGACUGUUUAUUUCAGUAAAACAUGAUCAGACAUUUACUAAGGUCCUGCCUCAUUGUACUAAAUCAGUUUUAUAAAAAGUUGUGCUGUGCAAACUAUGUCUGCAGUUGUUGCAUGUGUUUCAUUAUUUAAAUUUGUUUGUCAUGGAAUAGAAGGUAAUUAUUGUGUCUUGUUUUACAAUUGCCUUGGAAUAAGAUGAUAAUUUAUCAUUUUGCUUUUUAUUUUGUGUUACAAUUGUCUUCUUCUCUAAUUUGAUGGACUUCACGCUGGCAUAUUUUCUUACUUUGCAUGUACCAUAUUCUGGCCAAGGGAAGGAAGUAUGUGAUGCUGUAAUGCCAAAAUGCCACAGGUAGCAGCCACUAGAUGCCUUUAUGUGGAAUUGAUUGCUGUUUGUAUUGACAUUAUAUCCUCUCUCUUUCUCUCUCAAAUUUCAUUGCUUUAUUUUUUGUUGAUUGUAUGGCGUUUUAAAGAAAUUGAUCUCAUUGCUUUGCUUUGUUCAAGUUCCUUGCAUUCUUCGUGAAUUUUAUUUUAUAGAUCCUCUGAUUAACUUAAACAAAAGAGAGGUUUGCAUAAUUGGUUUUGGGUUGAUCUCGAGUUUUAACAAACAUUGCUAGUAAGUUAGGUUGAUCUCUCUAAUUGCUUUCUUGUUGAUAAAAGAUAUUAUUGAGGAUGGUUUUCUGGUGACCGAAUAGUAUAAACUGCCAAGGUCUCCAAACCUGUGUAAGUGCAUCCUAUUUUUCAAUUUGGUUUGCAAAUUAUCGAAUAUUCUUUUCUUAUUCCUUGCAAGAUAUUAAUUGUGCUGGUCAACUUAUCUAUCAUUUUUUCCAUUCUUCCUCUUGAACAAGUUACCUAUCUUACCAGAUAUUAAUAUGCUUCUGUUUUUUUAUGAACAGUGGCACCUUGUAUCCAUGUUGGUGGAAAGGAAAGCCAGGUGGAGAAAAGAAAUCAAACGACAGAACAAAUAUGGACGUACAAUUUUUUUUUGCUUUCGUCUUUCUCUCUAUGUAUCUUACUUAGUCCUUCACUCACACAUAUGUCACUAGAUUUGGACCCAUAUUUUCUUCUAGAGCGAAGACAAUCAUGUCUUUUUCCCCAUAACCUUGCCUUAUCUUUUUUCUUGGUUUACUUUGCUAGUCUAUUAUUUUCUCUUGGAAUUCCUCCCAAAACUUGGUUGAUUUUAACGUCCUUAUACCCUAAUUUCAAAUUACCUUGUUGGACCAUCUACAAUCACUUGAAUCAAUUUUUUAUAUUCAUCUGACAUGCGGUUAGAUUUUUGCUCCAUCAUCUGACAUGAUAUAUUCAUCUAUAUUUUUUUAUAUGGUCAUUUCAUAAUGUUCCUUCUCUUAUUGUACUAUUAUUCAUUAUUACAUGCUAUAAACACCGUAUGAGUACAGCAACAUGACCUGCAUUAGUAUUAUUUGCUCUUAUUGGUUGGACUCUGUAUGAAGCAUUUUGUCCUAAAAAAUUUGAGCCUUUGAUAGUUCAUUAAAAUAAACUGUUUCCCACUAGAACAUUAUCACAUUUUAAGUGUUAUCGAAAUUUAAUGUUCAUUAGGGUUAUAUAAAAUGAAUGUUGGUUAGAUCUAAUUUUAUUAAAUGAUCAAUUAAUUCAGAUAUAUUUUCUUAAGUAUAUAAGUUGACAAUUAAAGUUGCAAUAGACUUAACUAAAUGAGGCAUAUAUGAUAUCUAAAAGUUGCAAUGGACUUAACUAAAAGUUGUAACAGACUUGACUGAUUGAUUCAUUGUAACUUUUGUGUUUUACUUUUCUAUUCAUUAUUGCUUCGUAAUGCAAUUGAUCUGUAGUUUGUUGUGUUGUUUGAUUGUUUGAGUUUUGUUUAUAGUAUGCAUUUUUUUUUUUUUUUUUUUGCUGGUAUUAUAUUGUCAGUUUUGGUGUAUAUGUAUAUAAAUAUAUAUUUUUUGGUCAGGGUGGUUUUGGUGGAUUUUGAAUUCACUAUUUCGCGUGUUGCAUUUAAUAUUAUUUCAGGGGCAGUUAUAGUUUCUGGACAGUAAUAUUCAGAGAAAGAAGCAGACAUUUUGAGAGCCACGACAGAUAUUGAUCCAAUUCCUUAAAAUUUGGACUUGAAAUUCAGUUUCUGUGACACUGUGUUGUAUUAUAUAUUGAUAAUAAUAAAAGAUAAAUGUUUUUUGGGUUUGGGAGGAAGAAGACUGCUGGGGUUGGCAAGUCUCUUCCUCUCUCUGCUGUGUGUGUGUGCCCCUCUCUCUUCCUCGCUUUCUUUCCCACUUCAAUCUGUCUCUCUGCUUUCUCUUUUCUAUUUCCCUUUUGACUUU